RNAcentral lists this ribosomal RNA (253 nucleotides) under uncultured bacterium. RNAcentral describes it as "partial 16S ribosomal RNA". It matches the Rfam family "Bacterial small subunit ribosomal RNA", at positions 524 to 776 of the family's 1533-position model. The record is from RNAcentral.
UACGGAGGGUGCGAGCGUUGUUCGGAAUUACUGGGCGUAAAGAGCGUGCAGGCGGCCGACUAAGUCAGGUGUGAAAGUCAAAGGCUCAACCUUUGAAAGCCGAUGGAUACUGCAGGGCUAGAGUCCGGAAGAGGCGAGUGGAAUUCCUGGUGUAGCGGUGAAAUGCGCAGAUAUCAGGAAGAACACCCGUGGCGAAGGCGGCUCUCUGGGACGGUACUGACGCUGAGGCGCGAAAUCCAGGGGAGCAAACGGG